UACGGGGGGUGCAAGCGUUACUCGGAAUCAUUGGGCGUAAAGGGCGCGUAGGCGGCUUGGUCAGUCAGAUGUGAAAGCCCGGGGCUCAACCCCGGAAGUGCAUUUGAUACUGCUGAGCUUGAGUAUGGGAGAGGGAAGUGGAAUUCCUGGUGUAGAGGUGAAAUUCGUAGAUAUCAGGAGGAACACCGGUGGCGAAGGCGACUUCCUGGACCAAUACUGACGCUGAGGCG
RNAcentral lists this ribosomal RNA (230 nucleotides) under uncultured microorganism. Its description in RNAcentral is "partial 16S ribosomal RNA". It matches the Rfam family "Bacterial small subunit ribosomal RNA", at positions 524 to 753 of the family's 1533-position model. The record is from RNAcentral.